Molecule: ribosomal RNA, 620 nt
Filed under: uncultured bacterium
Lineage: Bacteria
Description: partial 16S ribosomal RNA
Source: RNAcentral
ACGGCUACCUUGUUACGACUUCACCCCAAUUAUCGAACCCACCUUCGGCCGCGCCCCCCUUGCGGUUAGGCUACGGACUUCGGGUGUUCCCGACUCUCAUGGUGUGACGGGCGGUGUGUACAAGGCCCGGGAACGUAUUCACCGCGGCAUGCUGAUCCGCGAUUACUAGCGAUUCCAACUUCACGCAGGCGGGUUGCAGCCUGCGAUCCGAACUGGGACGGCUUUUUGAGAUUUGCUCCACCUCGCGGUCUUGCCUCUCUUUGUUGACCGCCAUUGUAGUACGUGUGUGGCCCAGGACGUAAGGGGCAUGAUGAUUUGACGUCGUCCCCACCUUCCUCCGUUUUGUCAACGGCAGUCUCGCUAGAGUGCUCUUGCGUAGCAACUAACAAUAAGGGUUGCGCUCGUUGCGGGACUUAACCCAACAUCUCACGACACGAGCUGACGACAACCAUGCACCACCUGUCUCUGCUUUCCCCGAAGGGCACCUAAUCCAUCUCUGGUUCGUUAGCAGGAUGUCAAGCCCUGGUAAGGUUCUUCGCGUUGCUUCGAAUUAAACCACAUACUCCACCGCUUGUGCGGGCCCCCGUCAAUUCCUUUGAGUUUCAACCUUGCGAUCGUAC